GUGUUCAUUCUGGCAGUAUAUAUACGAAGAUUGAAAUCAUUCAGAAAAGAUUAGCAUGGUUUGCAUAAGGAUGACAUGCAAACUUAUGAAGUGUUCCAUAUGAAA
Ictidomys tridecemlineatus (thirteen-lined ground squirrel) is the source of this 105-nucleotide non-coding RNA. Lineage: Eukaryota; Metazoa; Chordata; Mammalia; Rodentia; Sciuridae. The record is from Rfam.